Molecule: RNA transcript, 1829 nt
Organism: Hibiscus syriacus
Lineage: Eukaryota; Viridiplantae; Streptophyta; Magnoliopsida; Malvales; Malvaceae
Gene name: T-complex protein 1 subunit gamma-like
Exons: 5
Source: RefSeq, a predicted model, not a curated record
GCCGCAAUCUCCUUCUCCACUUCUCUCUUUUCCCAUGAAACCUCUCCUCAUCUUCGGUGGUAACCCUCCCUCACCACUCAUGCAGCGCCGCUCAUCGGCACUCACCAGCUCGCCAGCCACCAACUCGGUGGCCACCUUUCAUUUCGAUCGCCCCCACAUGCAUACGAAAGAACCCCAAAGAAGCCCAAAGAUGCUUCUUUUCUCAACCCUUCGGUUCGGCCGAGACAUCAAGAGUCUCAAACCCUCUCCGAUCGACACCCUAAACCAGAUACCUAAACCUUUCGAGAACUAAACGAAACCAAGCUCGAAUCUAAAGCCCCGAAACCACAAAAAAUAGCCUCAAAUCAUAAUCUGAAAUAAACCCUAAACUUACCUUUAAGAGGCGAGGUCUCACCUUCGAUGGAUACGGGAUUUCCCUUCAAACGACGAGAGGCUCUGUUUUGCUCCGGUGGCAGUGACGAUGGCUCAUCCAGUUACUCUCCAGUUUGUAUUUCUUGCUGGUGAGAUGCUUCAUGUUGCAGAAGCCUUUAUUGAAAAAAAUUAUCAUCCAACGGUAAUUUGUCGAGCAUACAAUAAGGCUUUAGAGGAUGCUAUUGAUGUACUUGACAAGAUUGCAAUGUCUAUUGAUGUGAAAGACCGUUCAACAGUGUUGGGGCUUGUGAAGAGCUGUAUAGGGACAAAGUUCACUAGCCAAUUAUAUUGGUUCCUUGCAGACAAAAUGUGAAUAAAAACCAGAUCUCAGUCCAGAAACAGAAUGUCUCUCGUUUGGAGAAGACCUGUGAUCUGAUCAGAAAUUUUCCAGAGUAUCUUGAUGUGGUUGUGAAUGCUGCAAGAAAAACUGACGGUAGACAUUGGGCCGAUCUGUUCACUGCUGCAGGAAGAUCUACAGAGUUGUUUGAAGAUUGCAUCCAACGGAGAUGGUACCGCACUGCAGCAUGCUACAUUCUUGUAAGAAUAAUUCUCCUUGAAAAUUUUAAAUUUGUUCUAAAAAUUUCAUGUUUUGUUUUUUUCCUUCCAAAAAUUGCCCUCACUAAUUUAAUUCAAGCAUAGAGCCUGUUUCAAAGCAUGCUUUGGGUUCUUAUACAAUUUAGCAGUUAUGGUCAACCUCUAAGAAGUAAAUUUACAGAGUUUGCUAUCUUCCAAGAAUUAUGUAUCUCUUCCCCCUUAGAUGUUGUUGGAAAGCUAUGCAUGAGAAGCGAGGGGACGUACUCUCUUAUUGCAUGUCAACUUGUAUAAAUUUGGAUAUGUUGUCAUAUUUGUCAUAUUUUUAUAAAUUUAGAUGUGUUGUCAUAUUUUGUAAACUUUCAAUACAUUUGAAGUUUUAGGGUAAGCUUCUUGCUUUUGGUUUCUGUUCUAUGGUUGAUGAGGAUUUUCGCUCUAAAUGGGUUUUUUUUUCCUACUGUUGAUGGUUGAUAGCCUUUUCGAGUUAUCUGGUUUUUAUCUCGUUUUUGUUUUUUGUUUCUGCCUUUUUUUUCGUUGAUGGCUAAUGGUUGAUGGGUACCUCCUAUUGUUGAUUCCUCUUUGGUUUUUUGAUGGCUGACCUCUCUCCCCUUUUCUGAUGAUGAUCGAGACUAUAUCCUUGAUAUUUUCUCUCUACCUUCUUGUUGUGCUUGGUGCUCUGCCCCUUGUUUUGUGUGUCUGCAGGGCAUGGAUUCGAGCAUGGGUGACAACAGCAUUAGUUUUGGUGGAUGGCCGAUCAGCAAUGGUCUUCCUCGGUGGGUUUACGUGGGUGGUGCACUGUCUCGGGUUUCCUCCUGUAGGAUUUGCACCAUAUGUUAAUAUAAUAAACAUGAGUAAUAAUAAUACUAAUAAUUAUUAUAAAAAAAACU